GAUGAAGAACGCAGCGAAAUGCGAUAAGUAGUGUGAAUUGCAGAAUUCAGUGAAUCAUCGAAUCUUUGAACGCACAUUGCGCCCCAUGGUAUUCCGUGGGGCAUGCCUGUUCGAGCGUCAUUUACCCCCUCAAGCUCCGCUUGGUGUUGGGCGUCUGUCCCGCUUCGCGCGCGGACUCGCCCCAAAGGUAUUGGCAGCGGUCGUGCCAGCUUCUCGCGCAGCACAUUGCGCUUCUCGAGGCACCGGUGGGCCCGCGUCCAUCAAGCUCACACCCCCAGUUUGACCUCGGAUCAGGUAGGGAUACCCGCUGAACUUAAGCAUAUCAAUAAGCGGAGGA
Molecule: unclassified non-coding RNA, 337 nt
Filed under: soil metagenome
Description: partial contains 5.8S ribosomal RNA, internal transcribed spacer 2, and large subunit ribosomal RNA
Rfam family: 5.8S ribosomal RNA (bases 1-120)
Source: RNAcentral